GAUGAGGACACAAAUGUGACUGUUCUCACUUCGAUGACCGGCAACUUCACGCUCCAACUUGACUCGGUGCAGCUCAAACAUAUUGUUAAAACAAACAACAUAUGUUACGACCCGUUUUAUCCCUACACAAAUUUCUAUACUGCAGGUAAUACCUCCCUGUUUACAUUGUACAAAUAAGAAAGCCCAAUUAGUAUGUUUCACUCAGAUUCAAUGCAGUUGCUUUAUGCACUUGGUUGCGGUAAUAUUGUUCCUUUGAGUAAGGAUAUAUAUAAAUACAUUGUGCUGUUUGUUUUUUGUUGGUCUGGUGAUUUUAUGGUGAUCUAAAUUCUUAUUAUUACUAGGCUACAUUAAAGCUAGAACAGGAAUAUAACUAUUGCUUUGAUGCCUGGCCAUUGCUAAAUCCUAACUAUGAUUAUGUGCUUGCAAUGAUCUUGUCAUCAGAGGGUCUCAAACAAUUGAAAUGAAACCAUCUGCUCUGUGAAAUAGUUAACCAAUUGGUACAUCUAGAAGCUUAAAGCUUGUUAAGUUUUCUCAUUCAUUGUUUUGCCUUGUAAGCUUAAAAUUUAUCUUGAUCAAUCUUGAUAGUUAUCGUCAAUUCAUAGUACCAUGUACUCUAGUUUUUAUUGAGGAGUAGUACUAGUUCAUUAAUUUCACAUAGUACCAUGUAAUGCUUGUUUCCAAUCUGCACAUAUUUUAUUUUGGCAUUAUGGUCAUAACUGGUACAAACUCGCUCGAAAAUAAUUCUGGAUAAAUGAAUUUUUUUCUGAACAUGUAAAUAAAGCAUUCUUUUUUGGACCCAGCAACAUUUACUAUCCUUGGCUCAACUUUUCUUUCAAUUUUCGUUUGGUUUGCGCUUCUUUUGCUUGUAGCAAGGCAGGGCAGUCGGUCAGGAAGGGGUGAAUCUGGAACUAAUUGUGAUCGGACCAGAUCUGCUAACAUACUAUCUUGGUCGAACAAUUUAGGUAAUUUUAUCUUCCCGUAUAUGUUUUUUUUCCUGCUUUCCCAAUUUACAAGAUGGUGCCAUGGCAAUUCUUAGAUUUCCAAAAAGCAUGCCUUUGAGUAGAGAUCCCAGGCAUCUUUUUGCCUCAGAUGACAGGCAUCUUGUCACUGAUCUUUUAUGUUCUACUGCAAUCGUACAUAGUUAUGUAGCACACAAAGUAAAUGUUCUCUUAUUGCUGCUCUCCAUUUGUAGUAUCAAUUUCUCUAAUAGCGCUGGGAUGAUUCAGCUCUGGAUAUUUUGUUUCGUAUAAUUUGCACUAUGGCAAAGUUAAUGUUUAUUGUUGGGGAUCAUACAUAAUUUGGCUUUUCUGUGAGAGAGCAUUACCAAUUUGUUCUUACUGAGAUGACAUUGAUUGUUUUGCAGGUAUGAAGAGUUAAAUUCGGGUUGCUGAGACGCAGCCAUGGCUAGUUGGCAUACGGAAGUUCUUCUAUUUUGCUGAGAUGCAGACAUGGCCAGUUGUGUAGUGAAGUUCUUCUAUUUUGUAUAAUGAUGCGGUUCACGCUUAAACUGUCCCGCUAUGUAGUCUGUUGGAUCCUCUACUAUGUAGUAUGCUGUGGCAUGUGAUUUGGUCGACGCUGAGAUGUCUCCUCUAUGUAGUCUGUAGGUUGUUCUACUUUUAGGUACCGCGGGCUGUGACGUGAACCUAUCGGGUCUAAUCAUCUGAACUCUGAUAUAUUAGUAUCUAAGAUCAGCAGACAUUAGUCAAUUUUGUGUGCCUGGUUA
RNAcentral lists this long non-coding RNA (1723 nucleotides) under Triticum aestivum (bread wheat). Its description in RNAcentral is "long non-coding RNA (TAES_LNC012804)". The record is from RNAcentral. Lineage: Eukaryota; Viridiplantae; Streptophyta; Magnoliopsida; Poales; Poaceae.